UGCCAAGUAGCUGGAUUACAGGCACGUGC
Molecule: non-coding RNA, 29 nt
Filed under: Homo sapiens (human)
Lineage: Eukaryota; Metazoa; Chordata; Mammalia; Primates; Hominidae
Source: RNAcentral